GCGUCUGAGAACGGAGGCUCGUUCUCCUUCUGGUGGUGGGCGAUGGGCGUCAGGCGAGAAGGCCGGCGUUAGCGGAGCGCGGGCGCUGCGGUGAGUGCGGCCUGGCUCCGGCCCCGGUUCCCGGGGAAGGCGUCCUCCAGCUGCUGGUCAUCCGGGAGACGAGCGGUGUCCGCGGAGGGGUGGGACAACCCCUGACAACUGGCUGGUCCAGGAAGGGCCCGACUCCUGGUCUCUCCCGUUCCCCUCCUCCGGUGCCCAGCGAGUUUGAUGUGGUUUGCCGGUCUCAGAGGGUGGCCUUGACCAGUUCUCCUUUCUUUUGGACACUAGACCCAACUUUGGACUCGUUCCUUUUGCUUCCUUUUUCUCAUUUUGUGCUAUCUACAAUCCCAGGCCUUACUACAACCAUUUGUCAUGUUUUCCCUAUUCCCCUGUACCCCGGUCACGCAUGAUUUUAGUGAAGUACAAGAAUUGAGUUAAAUAAACUCACCACAUUU
Molecule: long non-coding RNA, 494 nt
Filed under: Rattus norvegicus (Norway rat)
Lineage: Eukaryota; Metazoa; Chordata; Mammalia; Rodentia; Muridae
Description: long non-coding RNA NONRATT018563
Source: RNAcentral